UACGUAGGGCGCAAGCGUUAUCCGGAAUUAUUGGGCGUAAAGAGCUCGUAGGCGGUUUGUCGCGUCUGCCGUGAAAGUCCGGGGCUCAACUCCGGAUCUGCGGUGGGUACGGGCAGACUAGAGUGAUGUAGGGGAGACUGGAAUUCCUGGUGUAGCGGUGAAAUGCGCAGAUAUCAGGAGGAACACCGGUAGCGAAGGCGGGUCUCUGGGCCGAUUAACUGACGCUGAGGUGACGAAAGCGUGGGGAGCAAACAGG
This 256-nucleotide ribosomal RNA is filed under the name uncultured bacterium. RNAcentral's name for it is "partial 16S ribosomal RNA". It matches the Rfam family "Bacterial small subunit ribosomal RNA", at positions 524 to 776 of the family's 1533-position model. The record is from RNAcentral.